CAAAAGAUUGUUUUAUUAUUUCAACGCUGGAGAAAUUGAGAAAGUCUGUCAAUCGGUUGCCGAUCUGACAUCGCGAAUUGGGAAUGAGGUAUUCUGUAAUCUACUGUGUGUGCUUCUAACUCUGCUGUUGGGCUAUGCGCCGUCGGUCUGGAAAGUCGUCAAAGAGAAAUGGUCAGCCGCCGUGUCAAUGUUCCAAGAAUGGAGAGCUCGUCCUUCCCUCUGCCGUCACUGCGGUACUGCCCCGUGUGAGGUCAAAAGGAGGUCCUUGUGGAAGCCCUCCGGUACUCGAAAGAAAGACAAGGCGAAUUUCGCAAAAAGGUCAAAUGCCAUGAUGUUGUUUUACUAUGGACUAGAUUUGUCCGUGGUACUGACCAAAGAGCUGCCAUGGAAUGACCUGUACUUGAAGAGGAAAAUCGUCCAGCAUUUUGAGGAGGAGCAUAUGGUAUUGUUCCCUGUGUGCAUCCAGCGUCAUAUCAACUACUGGUACCCUGUCCCUCGCUAGAGUCGUUGCGUCGUUCAAAGAGAAGAAUGUGGAAGGCAGUCGGUGAUGGUAUAGAAGUGCGAUUGACGUCACAGCCUCGAUUUGGCUGUCGUAGGGGUUUUGUCCUGAUAAGUUCCAAAAGGAAUGGUUUUUGACCAGUGAUACCGUGUAAUUAUAUUGUUUCUUUUAUUAAUUAAAAUGUUCAGGUGUAGCUUUGUGGAUGUAGAUGGUUAGUGAGCUUAGGAAGAACUUUUGAACAGUAGUGUUGUCCAGCAGUGGUUAAAUUCAUAAAUUUUCGUUUUUUAUUAGAUUGGUCAGUUGCAAACAUGUUUCAAUUGAAUUACCAACAUGCACAGUUCUGCCCAUUUUGUACUGGUCAGUUUUGCUUUUGUGUGCUUUGUGUAGUAACAAUCAUGUAAUCAAUGAAAUAUAG
This 914-nucleotide long non-coding RNA is filed under the name Mizuhopecten yessoensis (Yesso scallop). RNAcentral describes it as "uncharacterized LOC110456658". The record is from RNAcentral. Lineage: Eukaryota; Metazoa; Mollusca; Bivalvia; Pectinida; Pectinidae.